This 706-nucleotide non-coding RNA is filed under the name Abscondita chinensis. Lineage: Eukaryota; Metazoa; Arthropoda; Insecta; Coleoptera; Lampyridae. The record is from RNAcentral.
UUUAAUAUGUAAAUAUUAUAUUAAAAAUUUAUUUGCAGUUUUUAGUUUUAAAACAUUAUUUAAGUAAGUUUUAGUAAUUAAUUAUAGAUUUAAUAAAAUUUGUGCCAGCAAUUGCGGUUAUACAAAUAAUUCAAUUGAAAUUUAUUGGUUAAUAAUUAAUUUGUUUUAAUUAAUUUAUUAUUAAAAUUUUUAAGUGAAAUUUAAAUUUUAAUAUAAUUUUUUUGUUUAUAUUUGAAGUUAUUAAAAUUAAUAUUAAACUAGGAUUAGAUACCCUAUUAUUAUAAUUGUAAAGUUUCAAUACCAGAUUAGUAUUAGUUGUUUUCUUAAAAAUUAAAGGAUUUGGCGGUAUUUUAGUCUAUUCAGAGGAACCUGUCCUGUAAUCGAUAAUCCACGAUUAGAAUAACUUUUCUUUUUCUUGUAUAUCGUUGUUUUUGAAUAUUUUAUAAGAAUUUAAAUUUUCAAUAAGUAUAUUUUAGUUGAUUUCAGAUCAAGGUGCAGUUUAUAGGAAAGAAGAUGAUGGGUUACAUUAAAUUUAUUUUUGGUUUAAUAUUUUGAAUAAUAUUAUUAAAUUGGAUUUGAUAGUAAUAUUUUAUAUAUUUAUUAUAUGAUUUUAGCUCUAAAAUGUGUACAUAUUGCCCGUCGCUCUCAUUUAUUUGAGAUAAGUCGUAACAAAGUAGAUUUACUGGAAAGUGAAUCUAGUAUUAAU